UGCAGAGUGAUUUUCAUGAACAUCAUUACUACCCUGUUGCAGCAGAAGCUUAAUCUCUCUGAAACAAGAGCAGCUGAGUAGGAGUGAGUCACCCUCGUUCCAGUAAGGAAGCCCCUUCAGGAAGCCUCUCUAGCAAUGAUGUCCUGUGCAGCCCUGAUCCGCCACCGACCUAUUCAGCUUUAACAAUGCUGACAGUGUGUAAUACUGCCCCGGAAACCUUCAGAGAUUGCUUGUCAGACAUAGCCAGUGUCUCCAGUGCCCAGGCAGCUAAUCUAGCAGCAGACAGAUCUCGGCCUGACAUCCCAUGAUUCAUUGACCCUUUGGGGCAAAAUCUCCCUUUGGAAGUGAAGCAGCCUUCUGUGUCUCCAAAAUCACCAGUCACUCUGGAAACCUGAGAAAUAGCUCACUGAAGAAAACACAAAUGGAGUCAUGGCGCUUCACUUUUACCUCCAGACAAAGGGAAACCGAAUCAGAAACCCCAGGCAGAUGACUCACAGCCACGCUCGUGGAGCAGAUGAUAGAUGUCCAGUUAGCUGCAUCAUCUCCAGAAUGAAGAAGCUCUGGGUGGGUCUGGCUACCCACGGCUUUCACUUGGAAACCCCCCAUUUCUAACCUUCUAAGUAGCCG
Long non-coding RNA from Gymnogyps californianus (California condor), 627 nucleotides. RefSeq lists it as uncharacterized. NCBI's taxonomy places the organism in Eukaryota, Metazoa, Chordata, Aves, Accipitriformes, Cathartidae. The record is from RefSeq and is a predicted model, not a curated record. The transcript is spliced from 3 exons.